GAAACAUUUCCUCACUUAUCCCAGUGACUUCUUCAGUCUCAGCUGACUGCUAGUUUCCCCAAAUCUUUAAACAGUGCAUUUGCAUAAUGACUGAAACUAGCACCACUGACUAACAGUGGGCUGUGGGGUCAGUUUCUUGAUUACUAAUAUGCAAUCACAAUAUUCUAAGAUUCUUUAACUGGAUGAUUAAGAAUGCACAGGACAAUGUGAUUUUCUGUUUUGUUUUUUUGUGCAUUGGUUUUCUUAUGAUCAGUUUACGAGUGACGGAAACCGCUCACCAAACAGUGGGGGAAUGCACAGUUUCCCCUCAUGUCCACUGAUUGUAUCACACUUAAUGUGCAGAAACCUCUAUACUGUAUAUCCUUUUACAGACAUGUCCAUUCAAAAUGUGUUGGGACAUGUUUUUUGGUGUUAUGUCCUAAAAUUUUCCAUGUAAUCUUUCUAAACUUAAAAUGUAGUUUUCAGUGCCUAAUAAAACUUACUGGUUCUUAAUGAUAUGAUAUGUGUUUGUUUCCUGGAAGCAUUAAUCAAUCUGGAUGAAACUGAAUUUAAUAAACUGCCUAGGUCAUCAGGAUUAUCAAUACCUAAACAGCUUUUGGGAAUUACACCCAAAUCCUUACAAAGUAUAUUAUAUGUAGUACUGCUGUCAAAACGAAUGGCAUGAUUACAUAUACCCUGCAUGUAGGAUUCUUGGAAUUAUGUGUCGGUGUUGGUGUCUGUAAUUGAUUACUUUGUGUUAUACAAUAAACCUGUUGUCAUGGUCCGCGGCCCGGCGUCUGAGGUGCUGAUGGGAUGCCCACUCCCGUGGGCGUGGCCGCUGACUCCACACCUGCAUCCCAUCCCAGGCGAUCACCAGGUGGACCAUUUAAUCCUGCCCAGCCUGCUGCUCCACGCCAGUCCGUAAUCGUCCUUCAGCGAUCACUGCUCGGCGUGUUUUGAGUCACCAGCCUGUCCACCUGCCUGUCCAGAAUUUGGAUCACGAUCAACCCCAGCUGCCUCGCCCUUUCUGGAGCUUCUCCCCACGGACCCUCACCCCUCCCUCCGGUUCCCUUGGCCCCGCUAUCAUCCCUCCCACGGUCCCGCUCUCGGCGUUUCCUGCGCGAUUCUUCUCCCGGUCCCUCGGUUUCUCUGGUUCCGUGCGUUUUCUCCCUUCUACUCUCCCGGGACACUCUCAGUUAUAAUAAAGUUUAUUUUUUCUCUCGUACCGCUGUGUGUGUGUUCUGCUCCUGGGUCCAGCUUGUGUGUUGAACUUCGGUUCUUGACACCUGUAGCUUGUAAUAAAGAACAGCAAUGAAUAUAUGCAUUUAUUAUUGAUUUGUUUGGUUAUGAACAGGAGUUUUUGUUACAGUAAUAUAAAGAAUAUAUAUAAGAAUAUAAAAAAAAACAUGAUAAAUUAAUAUACAUGUCUGUGUGUUCAUACAAG
Astatotilapia calliptera (eastern happy) is the source of this 1423-nucleotide long non-coding RNA. Lineage: Eukaryota; Metazoa; Chordata; Actinopteri; Cichliformes; Cichlidae. The record is from Ensembl.